AGUGAACGCUGGCGGUAGGCCUAACACAUGCAAGUCGAACGGCAGCACAGUAAGAGCUUGCUCUUACGGGUGGCCAGUGGCGGACGGGUGAGGUAUACAUCGUAAUCUACUUUUUCGUGUGGGUUCACGUAGGGAAACUUACGCUAAUACCGCAUACGCCCUACGGGUGUAAGCAUGGGAUCUUCUGACCUUGCGCGAUUGAAUGAGCCGAUGUCGGAUUAGCUAGUUGGCGGGGUAAUGGCCCACCAGGGCGGCGAUCCGUAGCUGGUGUGAGAGGAUGGUAAGCCACACGAGAGGUGGGACAGGGUCAAGGGUCCUACGAGAGGGAGCAGUGGGGAAUGUUGGGCAAUGGGCGGAAGCCUGAUCCAGCCAUACCGCGUGGGUGAGGAAGGCCUUCGGGUUGUAAAGCCCUUUUGUUGGGAAAGAAAAGCAGCAGGUUGAGACCCCGCUGUUCUGACGGUACCCAAAGAAUAAGCACCGGCUAACUUCGUG
This 492-nucleotide ribosomal RNA is filed under the name uncultured bacterium. RNAcentral's name for it is "partial 16S ribosomal RNA". It matches the Rfam family "Bacterial small subunit ribosomal RNA", at positions 29 to 507 of the family's 1533-position model. The record is from RNAcentral.